RNAcentral lists this ribosomal RNA (497 nucleotides) under uncultured bacterium. RNAcentral's name for it is "partial 16S ribosomal RNA". It matches the Rfam family "Bacterial small subunit ribosomal RNA", at positions 899 to 1397 of the family's 1533-position model. The record is from RNAcentral.
ACUCAAAUGAAUAGACGGGGGCCCGCACAAGCGGUGGAGCAUGUGGUUCAAUUCGACGCAACGCGAAGAACCUUACCUGGGCUCGAACGGCUUCCUAACGGUCGGUGAAAGCCGGCUAUCCCGCAAGGGAGUGGAGUCGAGGUGCUGCAUGGCUGUCGUCAGCUCGUGUCGUGAGAUGUUGGGUUAAGUCCCGCAACGAGCGCAACCCUUGUCCUGUGUUGCAAACCGAAAGGUGCACUCGCAGGAGACCGCCAGCGAUAAGUUGGAGGAAGGUGGGGAUGACGUCAAGUCAUCAUGGCCUUUAUGUCCAGGGCUACACACGUGCUACAAUGGACGGUACAAAGCGCCGCAAACCCGCGAGGGGGAGCAAAUCGCAAAAAACCGUUCUCAGUUCGGAUUGCAGGCUGCAACUCGCCUGCAUGAAGCUGGAAUCGCUAGUAAUGGCAUAUCAGAACGAUGCCGUGAAUACGUUCCCGGGCCUUGUACACACCGCCCGU